RNAcentral lists this ribosomal RNA (456 nucleotides) under uncultured bacterium. RNAcentral describes it as "bacterial SSU rRNA". It matches the Rfam family "Bacterial small subunit ribosomal RNA", at positions 340 to 786 of the family's 1533-position model. The record is from RNAcentral.
UACGGGAGGCAGCAGUGGGGAAUAUUGCACAAUGGGCGAAAGCCUGAUGCAGCUAUGCCGCGUGUAUGAAGAAGGCCUUAGGGUUGUAAAGUACUUUCAUCGGGGAGGAAAAACAAAACUAAUAAUUUUAUUUCUUGACGUUACCCGAAAAAGAAGCACCGGCUAACUCCGUGCCAGCAGCCGCGGUAAUACGGAGGGUGCUAGCGUUAAUCAGAAUUACUGGGCGUAAAGAGCACGUAGGUGGUUUUUUUAAGUCAGAUGUGAAAUCCCUGGGCUUAACCUGGAACUGCAUUUUGAAACUGAAAUACUAGAGUAUCGUAGAGGGAGGUAGAAUUCUAGGUGUAGCGGUGAAAUGCGUAGAUAUCUGGAGGAAUACCUGUGGCGAAAGCGGCCUCCUAAACGAAUACUGACACUGAGGUGCGAAAGCGUGGGGAGCGAAAACAGGGAUUAGAUACC